AAUCUCAGGGUCGUGGGUUCGAGC
This 24-nucleotide non-coding RNA is filed under the name Drosophila melanogaster (fruit fly). RNAcentral also lists the same sequence under 4 other names. The record is from RNAcentral. Lineage: Eukaryota; Metazoa; Arthropoda; Insecta; Diptera; Drosophilidae.